Molecule: ribosomal RNA, 408 nt
Filed under: uncultured bacterium
Lineage: Bacteria
Description: bacterial SSU rRNA
Rfam family: Bacterial small subunit ribosomal RNA
Source: RNAcentral
UGGGGAAUAUUGCACAAUGGGCGAAAGCCUGAUGCAGCGACGCCGCGUGCGGGAUGACGGCCUUCGGGUUGUAAACCGCUUUCGGCAGGGAAGAAGCCGUAAGGUGACGGUACCUGCAGAAGAAGCGCCGGCUAACUACGUGCCAGCAGCCGCGGUAAUACGUAGGGCGCAAGCGUUGUCCGGCAUUAUUGGGCGUAAAGGGUGCUCAGGCGGAUUUGUAAGUCAGAGGUGAAAUCUUACAGCUUAACUGGGAAACUGCCUUUGAUACUGCAAGCCUAGAGUAUGGAAGAGAGUGAUGGAAUAUCUGGUGUAGCAGUGAAAUGCGUAGAUAUCAGAUAGAACACCAAUGGCGAAGGCAGUCACUUGGUCCAUUACUGACGCUAAAGCACGAAAGCGUGGGUAGCAAAC